UUUUUAACAUGGCUCAGAUUGAACGCUGGCGGCAGGCCUAACACAUGCAAGUCGAGCGGUAGAGAGAAGCUUGCUUCUCUUGAGAGCGGCGGACGGGUGAGUAAUGCCUAGGAAUCUGCCUGGUAGUGGGGGAUAACGUUCGGAAACGGACGCUAAUACCGCAUACGUCCUACGGGAGAAAGCAGGGGACCUUCGGGCCUUGCGCUAUCAGAUGAGCCUAGGUCGGAUUAGCUAGUUGGUGAGGUAAUGGCUCACCAAGGCGACGAUCCGUAACUGGUCUGAGAGGAUGAUCAGUCACACUGGAACUGAGACACGGUCCGACUCUUACGGGAGGCACAGUGGGGAAUAUUGGACAAUGGGCGAAACCUGAUCCACCAUGCCGCGUGUGUGAAGAAGGUCUUCGGAUUGUAAACACUUUAAGUUGGGAAAGCCAUCUUUNA
This 440-nucleotide ribosomal RNA is filed under the name Pseudomonas sp. BR-Subra-62. RNAcentral's name for it is "bacterial SSU rRNA". It matches the Rfam family "Bacterial small subunit ribosomal RNA", at positions 11 to 458 of the family's 1533-position model. Lineage: Bacteria; Pseudomonadati; Pseudomonadota; Gammaproteobacteria; Pseudomonadales; Pseudomonadaceae. The record is from RNAcentral.